UUGUUGUAUGAAUGGAGAGUUUAGCAUUGCCCUUGAGAAGAAUAGAAGAGGUCUAGUGGUUUUACAACACAGAUACAGUUAAGUCAUUCCAUCUGCUUUGUGGCAUCUAACCAUGUUU
This is a small nuclear RNA of Phascolarctos cinereus (koala), 118 nucleotides long. The record is from Ensembl. NCBI's taxonomy places the organism in Eukaryota, Metazoa, Chordata, Mammalia, Diprotodontia, Phascolarctidae.